GUGCGUGUGUGUGUGUGUGUGUGUGUGUGAAGAAGUCAAGGUUCCAAGGCCGAUUUAAUUAAGGUAGUCUAGUAAUUUUUCGUUGAUUCUUGUAAAAGAAGGUAUGGUGACCCUAUAUCCUUGAUUAAUCUUCCAUUCAAGGAUCCAAUCCAAAAUAGAUUUUGAAGCUUCUCACAAUGUCAAAAUCCUACGUUCUAAUCUAAGAAUGGGUUCAUUGGUAAAGAGUUUUUAUGACAUUUAUAUGGAUAAUUAAAGUUUUAUUGACGAUUUUAAGUUUAUUUUAUAUAGAAUUCCUCCAAGAACAUAUGUGUUCCUCUAAACCCCUAAAUUGAAUGGAAAUUGGUUUGUACAUUGAAUAGCAUGUGAUAAUAUGAUGUUAGUUUAUGGAUUCAUGUCAUUAAUUAUGUCUUGUGAUGGAAAAGUAUUAUGUAUUGAGGUAUUGAUGUAUUUGUGUGUUGGUGAGUUUUGAUCUAAAGACUUGAAGGUAUAUUCUAAUCGAUCUCUUGUUGAAUUGCUCAUAUUGAUGAGGGAAUUGUUUAUGGAUAUAUGUCAAUAUUAUUCUUUAUUGUAGUAUCUUGGAAAUAAGUGUUAAUACCUAUUCUUAUUGAGUUGUAAUUUUGACACAUUAAUGUGUGAUCCACUUAUGGUGGAGAUGCUUAUUUGAUAGCUAUAUGAAUGUGAAUCUAGUAGAAUUAAGGUGAUAAUGUCUUGAAGUAGUCUUACAUGUGAUUCCAAUGAUAGAAUGAUGAUCUUGUAUAGAAUGUGAAUGUGUUCUUAUUGAAAGCGUACUCUCAUUACAUAAUCUUGACUUGGUAGGCUUAUGCAUUCUAUUCUUUUAUAGUUGAAUGUAAAAGUAUAUGUGUCUUGAAUUGCUACUAGUGAUAAUGAGUUACAUGAUUAUGAGCACUUCAAUACUUAUUUGGAUAUAAUGUAUAUUGAUGAAUGGUUGGAAGAUAUUUAUGUAGAAAAAUAUUUGGGAGGUUUAAUUGAAGAUGUUUAAUUAUAUCACAAAAGUGUUCAAUUUGAUAGGAAUUUUAUAUUGUCUUUGUCAUGCCCAUUGGCGAACAUAAUUGGAAAAACUUAAUUGAAGUUGCAUGUAUCAUUCGCAAUGGCAUCUAGACAAGGAGUUUGUUGUGUUUCUAUAUGUAUGAGAAUUUUCUAUUGGGAUGAAGAUGUUCACAUGCUUUAUAACAAUUUAUUUAUAUAUUCCAGGAUUAAGGUUAAGUGGACACAUGGUCACUAUCUUGUUUUGUUCCUACCAUUGUUGCUCUUGAGCAAUGGAUGUUGUUUGCUAAUGCACAUCUUCUUGAUUUUUAGAGAUUUAAAUUUGAGGACGAAUUGUUUUCAAGAAUAGGGGAAUGAUAACAUCAAUGUCGGCCUACUAGUACUAAAGUUGACGGGAUUCAAUUUAAAAUCAAUAAAUAUGUUUAUUGAUAAAGAGAUGUUCAAAGCCCAAAUGUAAGAAGAUUGGAUCACACAAAGCCCAACAAAGGAGCCAAAAGGCUGAAUGGUUAAAGUCAAAGUUUAGUCAAAAUUCCCUAGUUUAGAAACCUUAUUUUAAAGUUUUUCCUAGUUUAAAAAGUUUCCUAGUUUAAAUACUUUAUUUUAAUGUUUUCCUAAUUUAAAAAGUUUCCUAGUUUAAAGUUUUUUGUUUCCUAGUUUGAUGUUUCCUACUUUAAAAGUUACCUAGUUUAAAGUUUUCCUAGUGUAAAGUGUCCAUAAAAGUAGGAUUUAAAUUAUAUUCUAUUUAGGAUAGGUCUUCCUUAUAUAGAGGGGUUGAUUUUAUUAUUUUGGACAUAUGAUUAAUAUUAUUUGAGAUAUUUCUCUUCUUUACACCUAUGUGUGUGGUAACUAUGGAUUUAUCUUACAACAUUAUAAGAACGAUUCUUUAGAGGGUAAGAUUAAUUCUUAAUUUGAUAUCUUUGGUUUUUAUUCCUAAAUUAGAGAAGGUGAUUUGUCUUAUACUAAUUGUUCUCUCUAAUUUCUACACAAUAGGGGUCUAGAUAACUUUUGAUGUAAGUUCUUGAAUUGACUUUAUUUAUUAUUAUUAUCAUAAUUAGUCUUACUCCUCUAACUUGGAAUACUGAUAUCAAAUAGGGUUCUUAGAACUUAAUCUUGAAAUUAGGGAUUUUAUUCUUGAAUUUCAUAUAUCAUUCAAUUUCGUCUUUAAUCUUUAUAAUUUUGCUUCCGCAUUAUGUUAUUGUUUAUUCUGGUAACCAGAUUCUUGUCAAGCAAGGUCAGCUUGGGGUUACUUGCAAUUCUAGGUCCUAUGUUACGUCAAAGGGUAGGCUCUGGACGUGACCUCUAAAUCCUAGAUCCAUGAUAUUAGUACUGCACACCUUAAUAACAAUAGAUUGUAUCUAUAGGCAUUAGUUAUACAUUUGUUGAAAAAGAGUUCCAUCGUAACAUCUCGUAAACCAAAAUAUCUAGGAUUAAACAAAGAAACUUAGAAUAGUUAUUUUUGGAAAGAAAAGGGAAAAUCUGGAAAAUUUCCUAAGUGUAAAAGUAAGUUUUAGGUCAUUUUCAAACGACCAUAACUUCUAUCUCAAGAUGACUUAGGGUCAGUUCUUUGUAUGGUUAGGAAUCCCUUGAAUAGAUCUUUCCAACACCGCUGAGUAUGCAUAAUUUCGAUAUCAUAUGAGGGAGAUAUGCCUACCGAAAGUUGGGCUGUUGGAUUGAGAAAAUCUAAUCCGGAUUUUAGUAAGGGUAAAGUGGUCUUUUCACCCUACUAUUUCCUAAUUUAUAUUAAGAGUUUACUAGAGGUAAAGUGAAUCCUUAAGUAAGUUUUUAAAAUAUUUAAUACGCUUAGGGCUUGGGAGAAAAGAGAAUAGAAAAAGGAGAAAGAAAAAAAAGACUAAGAUUUCGCCAAGAUCGUUGAGUGAGUUUCCUCGGGGGUUAUCCCUUGCACGUAUGUUAGAUCUUUCAGUGAUGGGUUCUUACACCCACACAACAAUAUGUUUAAUUUAGCGUAAUUAAUAUAGAUUGAAUGAUGAACUUUGAAGUUCUUGAUGAAAAACCAUUGAAUUCUUGUUGGUUGAGUUGUAGUAUACCUUGGGUUGUUAGAUUUGUGUUUCACGGUUUUUUUACGAGUCUAAACUGUUGAUAUAUUUAACAUCACAAAAUUAAAAAACAUUGAUAUAUGUAUGAUAUAAAUAAUUUCUUUUACUUUGUCAAACUUCGGACCAACUCAAAAUAGGAUAAACGAAUCAAAAGAUAGCGAGGAAAAAGAUAUUGAUAUCUAAUAGAAAAUAAUUCUCCUUAAUUAUAUCCGUGGAUUUCCAAGAUAAUCACUCAACUAACAACUAUUAUCUCGGAGGGUUAAUAAAACUUGCAAUUAAAGAUUAAAAAAAAUCUAUUACUUGAGUUAUCAUAUGAGAAAUCAUUUUUUACGGGUGUAAAUCUUGAUUAGUCGGAUCUCUAAUACGAACCCCGAAUUGAAAAAAAUGGCAUUUGAGUAAUUUUCUUCAAGGUGAAGGUUAAUUUAGUUUCAUUUCCAGUUGCGUUUUGUCGACAUGUAAGGCUUAUAUAUUUGGGCUAUUUGUUCCGUUUCUCUCUCUCCACUUUUAACUCAACUAGUGUACAGUGAUCACAACGAAAUUGCUCAGGCGAAAUAGUCGAGGUGAAAAAUAGAGCAUCGACAAUGGUACUGAAUGUCAAUGGGGUGUCGUUAAAAUCUCACAAAAUGUUACCAUUUCCUUGUUCUUCAGCCAGAUCUCUGAGAGUUUUGAUGGCUUCAACCAUUCAUCGACCUUCUGUAAGACUCCAUCGAAGACCAAGGUCAAAGGGCAUUAGGGAAGCAAUAACUUCACUUUACUCCAUCAAUCUUCAAGGAUUAACAAGGAUCCGGCCAUUGAAUUUCUAGAAGGCCAAUUGAAGAAGGCUUGAAUUCUCUUUCUCCAUGAUUGGUGAAUUAGUUAUUUUAUGUCAAAUACGAGAAGUACGAGAUCACCUUUGAUCGAGCAAUUAGUUCACUACCUUUCCUCUAACAAGCAAGUAAGCCAACUACCUUAUCUCAUUAGCGAAGCUAGAGUACAUGAGUAGACUGCUUUUCUUAGUUAGAAAAUGGAAUUGAUAAAAAAACUUUCUGUGGGCUUUGCUGCUCUCCCCAGGAAAGAUCAGAAGGUCAGAAGUGGAUUCGCCCUGUGUGCUGCUCGCGACGCCCCUGUAGAAAAGCAAGCUUCUUCCCCUUACUUAUUUUAUUAGUAAUGACCGCCCUUAAGAUGCCGUUGCGAGUUUGUUCGCGGUAGUAUUUACGUUAGUAGUGCAGCCCUUCC
Solanum pennellii is the source of this 4274-nucleotide long non-coding RNA. RefSeq lists it as uncharacterized. The record is from RefSeq and is a predicted model, not a curated record. Lineage: Eukaryota; Viridiplantae; Streptophyta; Magnoliopsida; Solanales; Solanaceae. The transcript is spliced from 4 exons.